GUGGAAGCUCAGGGGCACAGACCUGCUCAUCUGGAACAGCUGUGGACCUUACCUGCACAGAUCCUGAUGAUGUCAGACUGGUGAGAGGACCCAGUCGCUGCAAAGGUGUUGUAGAGAUCAAACAUCAUGGAGAAUGGAGAGACAUGGGACAUUAUUCUCCCUCUGACUCCUGGACCCUGAAGGCAGCAGAUGCCAUAUGUCGUCGAGUGGACUGUGGAUCUGCUGUUUCUGUGGUAGCUGGUCCAACUUAUGACAAGUGGUUCUUCAGCCCCCACUGUCUUCUCUCUACAUCUACACUGACGGACUGUGUGACAACACGUCCACUGUCCAUUGGCUCCGCCCCGUACCUCACCUGUUCAGACUCUGUCAGACUGGUCCAUGGUUCCAGUCUGUGUUCAGGCAGACUG
This is a long non-coding RNA of Sphaeramia orbicularis (orbiculate cardinalfish), 407 nucleotides long. RefSeq lists it as uncharacterized. The record is from RefSeq and is a predicted model, not a curated record. The transcript has 3 exons. Lineage: Eukaryota; Metazoa; Chordata; Actinopteri; Kurtiformes; Apogonidae.